GUUUUGUAAAUAGGGUCACCUCCAUUUGUAAUGCUGUCACAACUAUGUUUAUCAUUAUGAACAUGAUUAAUAACAUUACAAAAUAGGUAUUACCUCUAAGAUAUGCAAGAUAUUAGAAACUGCUAUGAUGGAUUACUGUCUGCUGCUGCAGCUAUGACAAAUAGUAUAUUUGAAAAAAAAAAAAAAAAAAAAAAAAAACCAAAGCGCCGAGCUUAG
Molecule: long non-coding RNA, 216 nt
Filed under: Helianthus annuus (common sunflower)
Lineage: Eukaryota; Viridiplantae; Streptophyta; Magnoliopsida; Asterales; Asteraceae
Description: hypothetical non coding rna
Source: RNAcentral